Molecule: ribozyme, 72 nt
Filed under: unclassified sequences
Description: HDV ribozyme from F. prausnitzii
Rfam family: HDV ribozyme from F. prausnitzii
Source: RNAcentral
GCUGCUCGGAUAAUCACACACCUCUUUGUGGUGAGCAGCAGGCAACGAUCUGUGAUCGGCAGAGAUGUGAUA